AUCGAAUUCCGUUAGUCUAACGCCCAUUGGCCAUCGACACGAAGCUAACGAAACGCAACACAAAACAAAAAUCCUUCCCUAGUCUGACGGCCCUUGGCCGGCCAUCCACACGAAGCUAACGAAACGCAACACAAAACAAAAUCCCAAUCCACCCACGGGUCCCGUCUGGCGUCGAUCACCCUCUCCUCCGACUCGCCCAGCCGCCCCUGUCGCUCUCGUGCUCUCCUCCCGCUUCACCGCAAAACCCUAGCUCCGCUACAUGCACCGGGGCGACGACCGUUCCGGCGGUCCCUCGGGCGGCGGCGACCGCUCCGGUGGCCGGUUCCAGCGGGGUCCUUCCCGCUGGUCGGGCGGCGGUGGCGGAGGAGCGGGUAGUCCGCCCCAUCGUUACUCCUCGCGCAGCGGGGGAGAUGGCAGUGGUCGAGGAGGCAGUGGCGGUGGCGGGAGGUUUCACCCGUACCGUGGCUCUUCCGAUUUUUCUGGUGGCGGCGGUGUAGGCGGGGGUGGAGGGUACAGAGGCGGCGGUGGGGACGAUUUCGGCGAGCAGAGGCAACGCUACGGUGGCGGCAACCGUGGUGGAGGCCGUGGGGAUUUCCAAGAUCAUGAUAGCAGAAGUAAUUACGUCAAACUUUUUGUUGGGUCUGUUCCAAGGACAGCAACUGAAGAAGAUGUCCGUCCUUUAUUUGAGGAGCAUGGAGAUGUUCUUGAAGUUGCUUUAAUCAAGGAUAGGAAGACCGGUGAACAACAAGGUUGUUGUUUUGUUAAAUAUGCUUCUUCUGAGGAGGCGGAAAGAGCCAUCAGGGGUCUGCACAACCAGUACACUUUGCCUGGAGCAAUGGGCCCUGUUCAAGUUAGAUAUGCUGAUGGUGAAAGGGAGCGACAUGGGGCCAUUGAGCACAAAUUAUUUGUCGCGUCCCUCAAUAAGCAAGCAACUCCAAAGGAGAUUGAAGAGAUCUUUGCCCCAUAUGGUCAUGUGGAAGAUGUUUACAUUAUGAGAGAUGGCAUGAGGCAGAGCCGAGGUUGCGGCUUUGUCAAAUUCUCAUCAAAAGAGCCAGCAGUGGCAGCUAUGAAUGCACUUAAUGGGACUUACAUAAUGAGGGGGUGCGAGCAACCAUUAGUCAUUAGAUUUGCUGAUCCUAAGAGGCCAAGACCUGGAGAAUCGAGGAGUGGCCCUGCAUUCGGGGGUCCUGGUUUCAGUCCUCGAUCGGAUGCAGCCCUUGUUAUCAGGCCUACAGCAAAUCUUGAGGAACCAAGGGGUCGCCAUAUGCCUCCUGAUUCUUGGCGUCCAUCAAGUCCAAGGUCAAUGGCACCAAAUCAAUACAAUAAUUUUGGAUCUGACAAUCCCUUGAUGCUAAGUGGUGGCGCUGUAACAUCAGCAGAUACUGCUGCUUUUCGACCUCCGAUGCUCCACGGAAAUGGUUCCUUAUCAACUCAGACAGCUGCACCAACUUCAUCGCAUAUGGGCAUGAACCCUCCAAUGGUACAAGGGCAUCACCUUGGAGGCCAACAGAUCCCAACCAUGCAAAAGCCACCUGGUCCACCACAGAAUUUCCCUGUAGAAUUGCAGAAUGCUCAGCAAGGACAACCUCUGCAGGGGCAUAUUCCACAGAUUGCGCAGCUUCAGGUUCCACAAUCCACGGGAGCUGUUUCAUUUGGCCAGAAUAUGCCAUCUAUGCAAUUGCCUGGCCAACCUCCAGCAUCACAGCCAUUGAUUCAACAGAAUGCUUCUCUAGGUGCUUUACAGGCUGCUUCAUCUGUACAGUCCAAUCCCAUGCAAGCUGUUCCUGGUCAGCAGCAAUUUCCCACCAGUGUUGCUCACCAAAUGCUCCAGCAGUCGAUGCAGCAGAUGCCUUCACAAGCACCACAGUUGCUGCUUCAACAGCAGGCAGCUUUGCAGUCUAGUUAUCAGUCUUCGCAGCAGGCGAUUUAUCAGUUGCAGCAACAGCUGCAACUAAUGCAGCAGCAAACUAACCUAAAUCAGCAAGCCCCAGCACAGGUUGCUAAACAGCAGUCUGGACAGCCAGUGCAAUCCAGCACCCCUGGUGCUCCAGGUGCCAUUAUUCCGACAAAUAUUAAUGCAAUUCCACAGCAGGUUGGUUCACCUGCAGUUUCUUUAACCUGCAACUGGACAGAGCAUACCUCCCCUGAAGGUUUUAAGUACUACUACAAUAGCGUUACUCGUGAGAGUAAGUGGGAGAAGCCUGAAGAGUAUGUGCUUUAUGAGCAGCAGCAACAGCAGAAACUGCUUUUGCUUCAACAGCACCAACAAAAUAUUGCUGCACAGCAACUGCAAUCACCACCACAGGGUCAGUCACUUCCAUCCAUGCAACCAAUUCAACAACUUCCCCAGGCACAAGGACAAGCACAAAUGCAGAUGAAACAACAGGACGCAGGAUGCAAAAGAGGACAAGGAUGUAUCAGUUGUAUAAAUUGAGCUAUCAGCUCUGUAUUUAGAAGCCUUUCUGGUUAAAUUAGGAUAGAAUCUGAAGAUGCCAGAUUGUCUUUUGGCCUUCGUUUUUCAUUUUGGUGCAGUAUGUUCUAUAAUAAAUUUUACAAUGUCUGAAAUUGUGGAGCUCAAAACUUCUAUGCAGGAAUUAAAUUACUCUCAGUUACAGGCAGCUGGUUCCAUUGAUCCCAGCAGGAUUCAGAAGGACAUUCAAGCUGCACAAGAACGUGCUUGGAAAAGUUAGUGCUGCAGGUCAUGACGACAAAAAGUGCUAGUCAAGACUGGGAAUUGAGCUCAGCCCCUGUGCCGUUCGUCUGUAACAGCGGCUGUUUAUCCUGCACAGCCAGGCGCCCAUCCCGAUAUGCGUAACUCUGGAUUUAUAUUAGACUGAUAUGUAGAUGGUAGAUCCUGUAUGCGUACAUUGUUGCGACCUAGGCGAUGUAUCCCUUGUUAGCCAUUCAUGUUCUCCGGCGGGUUAUCCCCACGCGACGGAGGGUCUUUUCCUGGGUCCCUUUCAUCUCUGUUCUCUC
Molecule: RNA transcript, 2976 nt
Organism: Panicum virgatum (switchgrass)
Lineage: Eukaryota; Viridiplantae; Streptophyta; Magnoliopsida; Poales; Poaceae
Gene name: flowering time control protein FCA-like
Exons: 18
Source: RefSeq, a predicted model, not a curated record